This 718-nucleotide ribosomal RNA is filed under the name uncultured bacterium. Its description in RNAcentral is "bacterial SSU rRNA". It matches the Rfam family "Bacterial small subunit ribosomal RNA", at positions 9 to 694 of the family's 1533-position model. The record is from RNAcentral.
GAGUUUGAUCCUGGCUCAGGACGAACGCUGGCGGCGUGCCUAAUACAUGCAAGUCGAGCGAGCGGAACUAACAGAUUUACUUCGGUAAUGACGUUAGGAAAGCGAGCGGCGGAUGGGUGAGUAACACGUGGGGAACCUGCCCCAUAGUCUGGGAUACCACUUGGAAACAGGUGCUAAUACCGGAUAAGAAAGCAGAUCGCAUGAUCAGCUUUUAAAAGGCGGCGUAAGCUGUCGCUAUGGGAUGGCCCCGCGGUGCAUUAGCUAGUUGGUAAGGUAAAGGCUUACCAAGGCGAUGAUGCAUAGCCGAGUUGAGAGACUGAUCGGCCACAUUGGGACUGAGAUACGGCCCAAACUCCUACGGGAGGCAGCAGUAGGGAAUCUUCCACAAUGGACGCAAGUCUGAUGGAGCAACGCCGCGUGAGUGAAGAAGGUUUUCGGAUCGUAAAGCUCUGUUGUUGGUGAAGAAGGAUAGAGGUAGUAACUGGCCUUUAUUUGACGGUAAUCAACCAGAAAGUCACGGCUAACUACGUGCCAGCAGCCGCGGUAAUACGUAGGUGGCAAGCGUUGUCCGGAUUUAUUGGGCGUAAAGCGAGCGCAGGCGGAAGAAUAAGUCUGAUGUGAAAGCCCUCGGCUUAACCGAGGAAGUGCAUCGGAAACUGUUUUUCUUGAGUGCAGAAGAGGAGAGUGGAACUCCAUGUGUAGCGGUGAAAUGCGUAGA